Molecule: non-coding RNA, 204 nt
Organism: Vicia faba (fava bean)
Lineage: Eukaryota; Viridiplantae; Streptophyta; Magnoliopsida; Fabales; Fabaceae
Source: the annotation of a GenBank genome assembly
AUGGUGUUGAUAAGUACUAUGCAGAGGUUUACCAACAGACCUUCCCUGCACUGGAAACCUAACAGAAACAAUUACCAUUCAUUAAUAUAUGUCCAUCAGUUCGGAAAGAAAAUAAGUUCAGAAGCAAAAAAAUACAAAAGACCAGCUAACACACUUCACAAAAACAGCUCAUUCAAAAAUCAGAAGGUAAAUAGAAACCUUUGA